Molecule: ribosomal RNA, 253 nt
Filed under: uncultured bacterium
Lineage: Bacteria
Description: partial 16S ribosomal RNA
Rfam family: Bacterial small subunit ribosomal RNA
Source: RNAcentral
UACGGAGGGUGCAAGCGUUAUCCGGAAUCAUUGGGUUUAAAGGGUCCGCAGGCGGAUUUAUAAGUCAGUGGUGAAAGCCUAUUGCUCAACAAUAGAACUGCCAUUGAUACUGUAAGUCUUGAAUUCGGUCGAAGUGGGCGGAAUAUGACAUGUAGCGGUGAAAUGCUUAGAUAUGUCAUAGAACACCGAUAGCGAAGGCAGCUCACUAAACAAACAUUGACGCUGAGGCACGAAAGCGUGGGGAUCAAACAGG